AGGUGAGUAGCUCAAUUGGCAGAGCGAUGGUCUCCAAAACCAUAGGCUGCGGGUUCGAUUCCUGCCUCACCUG
Molecule: transfer RNA, 73 nt
Filed under: Chloroflexota bacterium
Lineage: Bacteria; Bacillati; Chloroflexota
Description: Chloroflexi bacterium (anaerobic digester metagenome) tRNA-Trp
Rfam family: tRNA
About the family: Transfer RNA (tRNA) molecules are approximately 80 nucleotides in length. Their secondary structure includes four short double-helical elements and three loops (D, anti-codon, and T loops).
Source: RNAcentral